UAUGGUUAAGAAUAAAUGCUAACCAUCAUCUGGGCUUUCAGCAGGUUGUCAUGUUUUGGCUGGCGGAGGGUCUUGAUGGCUGCUGCGUGACCAGGGUGGUGGUUGCUAGGAUGUCUGUGGCAGUUUCUUAAAAUAAGACAACAAUGAAGUUGGCCACAACAUUCACUCUUCCUUUCACAAUUUCUCUGUAGCCUGUGAUGCUGUUGGAUAGCAUUUUACCCAGAAAACUUCUUCCAAAAGGAGUCAAUCCUCUGGCUGCUGCUUUGUCAACUAAAUUUAUGUAUUCAACACUUUGUUGUCAUUUCAACAAUCUUCACAGCAUCUUCACCAGUCGAUUCCAUCUCAAGAAACCAGUCAUCACCAUAACAAAUACAAUAAUAAUGAAAAAGUUUGAAGCACCUCAAGAAUUACCAAAACAUGACAAGGACACAGUGAACAAAUCCUAUUGGAAAAAUGGCACCCAAAGACUCCCUCAACAUAGGAUUGCCACAAACCUUCCAGGUGUGAAAAAGAGAAGCACAAUUCAGUGAAACUCAAUAAAACAAGGUGCAAUGUUAAUGAAAGAAGAGAGAAACCGAACUCCACAAGCUCCCACUGCUUCAUGGAACUGUCCACGUGCAUCUGAGCCCCUUCACUGCCCUUCACUCCUGUUACUGUGGGUGUUCCAUCAAAGACAGGCUUUGCCUCCUGUGCCCUACAGAAUUACCCCCUCUCUUCCUAAGAAUGCCACUCUGGCAGGUCUCCCAUCUCAUUCCCACACCUUUUCUCUCGACUAGAUUUUUCCCAUCAACCUACAGACCUACUAUCACUUUUCUACUGUCUAAGACAACCUUCUCAACCUUCGGUUGCUGUAGUUUUUUCCCCUUCUCUUGGGCUAGAGCAAAACUCAAAUGAUUAUAUGCGCUGAAUGCCGAUUUGUUCUAAUACCCUCUUUGAACCACUCCAGUCAUGUUCUCACCUCCACACUCCACAAACACAGAUCUUCUCAUCCAGGUCACCUCCACAUUGUUCAGCCCGGUAGCCACUUCUUCAUCGCUGUCUUCCGUGAUUUUCCGCCAUUUUUAGGCUUAAUCAUCAACUCCCUCUUUCCCAGAUCACUUUCUCCUUCAGGCUUCCAGAAUACCGAGCACCCAUGUUGCCCUCGACCACACUACUAGCUGCUCCUUUCCAACUUUCUUAUAUGGUUCCUCUUUACAUCUCUGGCCUCUCAUUUUGGAGAUCCCCAGAGUUCAUCCAGGGGCUUAGUGUCCAUCCAUGUUUUCUCCUCUGGGGCUCAUAUGCAGCAUCAUGUACACACUGCGUAAGUGGAGGAACACCAACGAAAUGUCUCCAGCCCAGACCUCUCUCCCGAACUCAGGCUCCUGACACAUCUGUCUCCCAGCGUUUCUACCUAGAUGUCUAACAGGCAUCUCCAAUUUUCUAUGUGCAACAUCAAACUCCGGAUCUGCCCCUAAAAACCCACUCUUUCACAGGUUUCCUGUCUUGGUUAAUGGAAACUCUAUCCUUCUGACUCCUCACCAGGACAAAACCCUCAGAGACAUUCUUGACUCCACCAUUUCUCUCCUAAACAAACUCAGUCUGUCAGCGGGUCCUCAAACAGAACCGCAAAAGCAUUUCUAGAAUCGGACCACUCUCACCAUUUCUACUUCUGUAACCCUGGCCUAAGCCACUAUUGCUAGUGCCAGGAUUAUUGCCAGAACCUCCUAACUGGCCUUCCUGCUUCCCCUCCCUCCCAACCAGUCUGGUCUUGGUGCAGCAUUGAAACAUUGACCGGAUCAAGUCAGUCCUCUGCUCAAAACCUUCCACGUCCUACCUAUUUCACGCAAAGACAAUUUCCGUGUGACGGGUUACAAGGGCAUUCACAGCAUACCCCUUCUCCCUUGUACUGUUACCUCUUCUUUGUCUCCACCUUUCCUCUGCUCCAUUGACACUAGCCUCCUUGCUGCUCCUCAAACAUGGAAGAUGAGCUUCUGCUUCAAGGCCUUGCAACUCUUUCCUCUUGGCCUAGAAUGCUCUUCCCCCAUUUAUCCUCAUGGAUCAUCCCUUCAUCUUCUUCAGAUCUGGACUCAAAUGUCACUUUUUCAUUAAGGGCCUCCCUGACCACAGUAUUUACCAAUGUUAAGCACUCUCCCUCUCCACCCCGCUCUCCUACAGUCUCUAUCACUUCCUUUAAUUUCUCUCUAGCACCAUCUCCUUCCGAUACACAUAUGUAUUACUUAUCUGUCUGCUGUCGGUUUCCUGCUAGUAUGUAACAACAGGAGCAUGAGGAUUUCUGUCUUGUUGACUGCUAUAUCCCCGGUGUCAAGAACAAUGCCUAGUAAAUAGUAAGAGUUUAGUUACUAUUUGCAGAACGAACAUAGGAGUUAUGUCAGUCCCUGUCACACACUCAAGCUUCAAAGAGAUGGGAACCACAUCUUAACUAUCUUUGUAAUAAAUGACUGACUAAAUGGAAGAAAGAAGAACUGAUCUUCAGUUUAAUGAAGGUACUUACUGAAGGUAAUGCAUUCAAUUGUCCUUUUCAUUUUUAAUGCAAAUACUUGAUCUCCCCUGAACAAAUCAGGUCAGCUAUUCCCAAACAAUGUUACCAACUGCCUUUUCUUCCUUUCUUAAAUUUUCCCUCAAUCAAGAGCAAAGAUUACAAUAGGCAGAGCAUGCAAUAAAAGUAUAGUGAUUAAACAAUGCUUACCAAAUCAAAAAGAGGAAACAUUCAAACCUUGAGAGGUAAUACAAACAUUGUUGCACAACUCACUUAUGAUUUUUCUUGUCCCAAGAAAGGUUAAAGAAACAGAUAUGACUCAGAAGGAAGGAAAAAACCCACAGAUAUGUUGGUUUAAUCAUAUGAUUUCUAAAAUACACUCAAUAAAUGAGGGCAAAUUUUGACCCUUCUGAUAUGAAGACCGCAUGUUAUUAAAUAAAGAGCACUUCCUAUUCACCUAAAUAUAUUUCUAGAGAAAAUUUCAGGGCUUGGAAAAGUCCAACAACUUAUUUCCCCCAAAAUGACAAGUUCACACUUUUAUCUUUUUAAUUUAUAUUAAACUUUUUCAAUUUAUUUCACAUGAAAACUUACAGAGGAAGUUGACUAUGAGGCCAAAGACCUGAGUUCUUUUCUCAGAACCCAUGCACACAUGGGAGAUUUUCUGCCCACUUCCCACAGCAGCAGGUCCCCCCUUCCAGCCCCCUCAGAGGAGGAACAAGGACAGUCCCAAAGGGUAGCAGGUGGAGAGGUCCAUGGUCACCACUGCUGGGAACAGACGUCGCAGGGCUCAUCUGCCGAGCACAUAACUAUUCAUCAGUCACCUCUGUGGUGGGGCUGAGAGCAAGGUUGAGGAGGACUCGGUAUCACAGUGCAGGUAAGGAGGGGUGGCAGUGCCCAUCACCAGAGGAGUAGGCCCUUACAAGAAAUAACAACUUACCAAUAGAAAAUUCACUGUGUUAGACACAAUGAUAACUGUGUCAGAGUACAUGGGUUGCAGGGAAGGUUGACUGUGAGAGAAAACUUGAUUAAGCGAAUCAUAACCAAGAAGAAACACAGUAGUGACAUCACGCAUUAAUCGGAUCAUUCACAUUACACCAGUUGGUGUCUAAAUCCCUUUUCCAGAGCAUAUUGUACACAGAAGACCAGUUGCUCAGUGUAUAAGACAUGCCUAUCUUUUUAUAUAAUAUCCCUUUCCCAUCACAGAAGAUUAUGACUAAUAGCCAUUUGCCUUCCACUAAAAUGUGUUCCAGUUUGGCCAAGAAAUUAUAUGAGGGCCUUACCUAAAACGCUGUCUUUGCUAUGGAACAUUAAGCUUUGGCUGUGAAGCUGGCAAAAUUAGUGCUGUAAUUGUCCCGUAAGUAUAUGAGUGACCACACUGGUCAGAUCGCCCUUUUUCCCUUACAGAGAAGCCAUGAAUCUGGCAAUGUAAACAAAAUGAGGAGGGCUUUGAAUAAUCAAAGAAUCCACUCUGUUCCUGUACAUUCUUUUGAAUCUGCUAUUUACACACUCGGCCAUGAUCAACUUUGGAAUAAUGGAGAUUCUCUUGCCAGCCACCAGGGAUUUUAAAUGUCACAAAUAGUUAUGAGAAAAAGUCUCACACUUGUAUCUUUUUUUUUUCUGGCUUAUUAGACGAAAGUAGAGGUAGGGCUUUGAAUAAAGAGCUAUUUAUUUUUAAGUUAAUAGUACAAAAGGCCCUCUUUUCAUUAAAGUCCCACCCCGCCCCCACUACCAAGCCUAGAAUUUAUUAGAACUAGCAUAGAGUAGAAAAGCAGACAGCAAGCACUCAACUGAAAUCCAGGGUCCCCUGCCACACUUCCCUCCCUUACUCUCCCAAAUAACGGCUUCCUAUUUUGACUCUGUGACAAAGUCAGUGGGAGAGCUCUUAGGAGUCGGGUGGGUGAAUGCUCACCAGGAGGGUUCACCCAGGACAGCAAGUUGCAAGGCAGAUCUACUUACCCACACUCCGAUAGCAGCCCCCUAACUUGGGGAUGCCACAGAUUGCAGAGCCCUGGUCUCCCACCCCACAUUGUCCCAGCCCAUCUGAAGUAUGUAUCCACAUGCUCUUGCCCCACAGGUAGCAAU
This is a long non-coding RNA of Lynx canadensis (Canada lynx), 4558 nucleotides long. RefSeq lists it as uncharacterized. The record is from RefSeq and is a predicted model, not a curated record. Lineage: Eukaryota; Metazoa; Chordata; Mammalia; Carnivora; Felidae. The transcript is spliced from 2 exons.